CGUUGUCUUUGAUGUUCACCAUUCAGUCUAUUGAAAGUCAAUAUUACAGUCAUACGGCGUCAAAUUUAUUAUUAUGUUUUAUCAUCAAUUUGUGAAUUUAACACAGAUAAUUUUAAUUUUCAUGGAUCAUCUGACGUUGUCUUUGAUGUUCACCAUUCAGUCUAUUGAAAGUCAAUAUUACAGUCAUACGGCGUCAAAUUUAUUAUUAUGUUUUAUCAUCAAUUUUUGAAUUUAACACAGAUAAUUUUAAUUUUCAUGGAUCAUCUGACGUUGUCUUUGAUGUUCACCAUUCAGUCUAUUGAAAGUCAAUAUU
This 313-nucleotide long non-coding RNA is filed under the name Rhopalosiphum maidis (corn leaf aphid). RNAcentral describes it as "uncharacterized LOC113560236". Lineage: Eukaryota; Metazoa; Arthropoda; Insecta; Hemiptera; Aphididae. The record is from RNAcentral.